GACGAACGCUGGCGGCGUGCUUAACACAUGCAAGUCGAACGGAAAGGCCCUGCUUUUGUGGGGUGCUCGAGUGGCGAACGGGUGAGUAACACGUGAGUAACCUGCCCUUGACUUUUGGAUAACUUCAGGAAACUGGGGCUAAUACCUGAUAGGAGCUCCUGCUGCAUGGUGGGGGUUGGAAAGUUUCGGCGGUUGGGGAUGGACUCGCGGCUUAUCAGCUUGUUGGUGGGGUAGUGGCUUACCAAGGCUUUGACGGGUAGCCGGCCUGAGAGGGUGACCGGCAACAUUGGGACUGAGAUACGGCCCAGACUCAUACGGGAGGCAGCAGUGGGGAAUAUUGCACAAUGGGCGGAAGCCUGAUGCAGCAACGCCGCGUGCGGGAUGACGGCCUUCGGGUUGUAAACCGCUUUCGCCUGUGACGAAGCGUGAGUGACGGUAAUGGGUAAAGAAGCACCGGCUAACUACGUG
This 468-nucleotide ribosomal RNA is filed under the name uncultured bacterium. RNAcentral describes it as "partial 16S ribosomal RNA". It matches the Rfam family "Bacterial small subunit ribosomal RNA", at positions 28 to 507 of the family's 1533-position model. The record is from RNAcentral.